This is a non-coding RNA of Triticum aestivum (bread wheat), 115 nucleotides long. The record is from Rfam. Lineage: Eukaryota; Viridiplantae; Streptophyta; Magnoliopsida; Poales; Poaceae.
GUGCUACUCCCUCCGUUCCGAAUUACUUGUCGCAGGUAUGGAUGUAUCUAGAUGUAUUUUAAUUCUAGAUACAUCCAUUUCUGUGACGAGUAAUUUGGAGCAGAGGGAGUAGAUG